AUAGGGAAAUAGCUAAUUGUAGGGGUGCUGUUUUGAGAGUUUUAUUCACUUUUAUAUUUAUGUCUCACAUCUAGGGAACUAGCUCUUCAGAAAAAUCCAAGUCUUCAGGAUCGUCACGAUCAAAGAGGAAACCUUCAAUUGUAACAAAGUAUGUAGAAUCAGAUGAUGAAAAACCUUUGGAUGACGAAACUGUAAAUGAAGAUGCAUCUAAUGAAAAUUCAGAAAAUGAUAUUACUAUGCAGAGCUUGCCAAAAGGUACAGUGAUUGUACAGCCAGAGCCAGUGCUGAAUGAAGACAAAGAUGAUUUUAAAGGGCCUGAAUUUAGAAGCAGAAGUAAAAUGAAAACUGAAAAUCUCAAAAAACGCGGAGAAGAUGGGCUUCAUGGAAUUGUGAGCUGCACUGCUUGUGGACAACAGGUCAAUCAUUUUCAAAAAGAUUCCAUUUAUAGACACCCUUCAUUGCAAGUUCUUAUUUGUAAGAAUUGCUUUAAGUAUUACAUGAGUGAUGAUAUUAGCCGUGACUCAGAUGGAAUGGAUGAACAAUGUAGAUGGUGUGCGGAAGGUGGAAACUUGAUUUGUUGUGACUUUUGCCAUAAUGCUUUCUGCAAGAAAUGCAUUCUACGCAACCUUGGUCGAAAGGAGUUGUCCACAAUAAUGGAUGAAAACAACCAAUGGUAUUGCUACAUUUGUCACCCAGAGCCUUUGUUGGACUUGGUCACUGCAUGUAACAGCGUAUUUGAGAAUUUGGAACAGUUGUUGCAGCAAAAUAAGAAGAAGAUAAAAGUUGACAGUGAAAAGAGUAAUAAAGUAUAUGAACAUACAUCCAGAUUUUCUCCAAAGAAGGCUAGUUCAAAUUGUAAUGGAGAAGAAAAGAAAUUAGAUGAUUCCUGUUCUGGCUCUGUAACCUACUCUUAUUCCGCACUAAUUGUGCCCAAAGAGAUGAUUAAGAAGGCAAAAAAACUGAUCGAGACCACAGCCAACAUGAACUCCAGUUAUGUUAAAUUUUUAAAGCAGGCAACAGAUAAUUCAGAAAUCAGUUCUGCUACAAAAUUACGUCAGCUUAAGGCUUUUAAGUCUGUGUUGGCUGAUAUUAAGAAGGCUCAUCUUGCAUUGGAAGAAGACUUAAAUUCGGAGUUUCGAGUGUUGGAUGCUGUAAAUAAAGAGAAAAAUACCAAAGAGCAUAAAGUCAUAGAUGCUAAGUUUGAAACAAAAGCACGAAAAGGAGAAAAACCUUGUGCUUUGGAAAGGAAGGAUAUUUCAAAGUCAGAAGCUAAACUUUCAAGAAAACAGGUAGAUAGUGAGCACAUGGAUCAAAAUGUUCCAACAGAGGAACAAAGAGCAAAUAAAAGUACUGGUGGUGAACAUAAGAAAUCUGAUAGAAAAGAAGAACCUCAGUAUGAACCUGCCAACACUUCGGAAGACUUAGACAUGGAUAUUGUAUCUGUUCCUUCCUCAGUUCCAGAAGACAUUUUUGAGAAUCUUGAGACUGCUAUGGAAGUUCAGAGUUCAGUUGAUCAUCAAGGGGAUGGCAGCAGUGGAACUGAACAAGAACUGGAGAGUGCAUCUGUAAAAUUAAAUAUUUCUUCAAAAGACAACGGAGGAGGUGCUGAUUGUCAGGAAGUUCCACAAGAUAAAGAUGGCUAUAAAAGUUGUGGUCUGAACCCCAAGUUAGAGAAAUGUGGACUUGGACAGGAAAACAGUGAUAAUGAGCAUUUGGUUGAAAAUGAAGUUUCAUUACUUUUAGAGGAAUCUGAUCUUCGAAGAUCCCCACGUGUCAAGACUACACCCUUGAGGCGACAGACAGAAACCAACCCUGUAACAUCUAAUUCAGAUGAAGAAUGUAAUGAAACAGUUAAGGAGAAACAAAAACUACCCGUUCCAGUGAGAAAAAAGGAUAAGCGAAAUUCUUCUGACAGUGCUAUAGAUAAUCCUAAACCUAAUAAAUUGGCAAAAUCUAAGCAAUCAGAGACUGUGGAUCAAAAUUCAGAUUCUGAUGAAAUGCUAGCAAUCCUCAAAGAGGUAAGCAGGAUGAGUCACAGUUCUUCUUCAGAUACUGAUGUUAAUGAAAUUCAUACAAACCAUAAGACUUUGUAUGAUUUAAAGACUCAGGUUGGGAAAGAUGAUAAAGGAAAAGGAAACGAAAAGUUCUACAUCUGGCUCAGAUUUUGAUACUAAAAAAGGCAAAUCAGCUAAGAGCGCUAUAACUUCUAAAAAGAAACGACAAACCCAGUCUGAGUCUUCUAAUUAUGACUCAGAAUUAGAAAAAGAGAUAAAGAGCAUGAGUAAAAUCGGUGCUGCCAGAACCACCAAAAAAAGAAUUCCAAAUACAAAAGAUUUUGACUCUUCCGAAGAUGAAAAACACAGCAAAAAAGGAAUGGAUAAUCAAGGGCACAAAGGUUUGAAGACCUCGCAAGAAGGAUCAUCUGAUGAUGCUGAAAGGAAACAAGACAGAGAGAAUUUCUCUUCAGCAGAAGGCACAGUUGAUAAAGACACGACCAUCAUGGAAUUAAGAGAUCGACUUCCUAAGAAGCAGCAAGCAAGUGCUUCCUCUGAUGGUGUCGAUAAGCUUUCUGGCAAAGAGGAGAGUUUUACUUCUUUGGAAGUCAGAAAAGUUGCUGAAACUAAAGAAAAGAGCAAGCAUCUCAAAACCAAAACAUGUAAAAAAGUACAGGAUGGUUUAUCUGAUAUUGCCGAGAAAUUCCUAAAGAAAGACCAGAGUGAUGAAACUUCUGAAGAUGAUAAAAGCAGAGCAAAAGGGAGCUGAAGAUAAAAGGAAAUUUCAGACUUUAAGAAAAAAGUAAUUAAAAUGGAACAACAGUAUGAAUCUUCAUCUGAUGGCACUGAGAAGUUACCUGAGCGAGAAGAAAUUUGUCAUUUUCCUAAGGGCAUAAAACAAAAUAAGAAUGAAACAACUGAUGGAGAAAAGAAAAGUAAAAAAAUAAGAGAUAAAACUUCUAAAAAGAAGGAUGAAUUAUCUGAUUGUGCUGAGAAAUCAACAGGGAAAGGAGAUAGUUGUGACUCUUCAGAGGAUAAAAAGAGUAAGAAUGGAGCAUAUGGUAGAGAGAAGAAAAGGUGCAAGUUGCUUGGAAAGAGUUCAAGGAAGAGACAAGAUUGUUCAUCAUCUGAUACUGAGAAAUAUUCCAUGAAAGAAGAUGGUUGUAACUCUUCUGAUAAGAGAUUGAAAAGAAUAGAAUUGAGGGAAAGAAGAAAUUUAAGUUCAAAGAGAAAUACUAAGGAAAUACAAAGUGGCUCAUCAUCAUCUGAUGCUGAGGAAAGUUCUGAAGAUAAUAAAAAGAAGAAGCAAAGAACUUCAUCUAAAAGAAGGCAGUCAUUGUCAAGGAGAAAAGAGAAACUCCCUGAGAACAAGCACUAAAAGGAAGCAAGCCGACAUUACAUCCUCAUCUUCUGAUGUAGAAGAUGAUGAUCAGAAUUCUAUAGGCGAGGGAAGCAGUGAUGAACAGAAAAUUAAGCCCGUGACUGAAAAUUUAGUGCUGUCUUCACAUACUGGAUUUUGCCAAUCUUCAGGUAUGCAAAAAUAAAUAAAAAAUUCAUAAUUUGUACUUUCCCCCUCUUGAAUUACUACAUUGUUUAAUUUUCCCUGAAGCUAAUCAAAUUUAGGGUUGCUACUUAGGAGAAUACCACUUAAAAUUGUUUAGGAGUUUAUUAAAAAAAACAUUUCCC
Rhinopithecus bieti (black snub-nosed monkey) is the source of this 3680-nucleotide long non-coding RNA. The record is from Ensembl. Lineage: Eukaryota; Metazoa; Chordata; Mammalia; Primates; Cercopithecidae.